Molecule: ribosomal RNA, 630 nt
Filed under: Sporopachydermia cereana
Lineage: Eukaryota; Fungi; Ascomycota; Sporopachydermiomycetes; Sporopachydermiales; Sporopachydermiaceae
Description: partial large subunit ribosomal RNA
Rfam family: Eukaryotic large subunit ribosomal RNA
Source: RNAcentral
AAUCUUUGACCUCAAAUCAGGUAGGAAUACCCGCUGAACUUAAGCAUAUCAAUAAGCGGAGGAAAAGAAACCAACCGGGAUUGCCUUAGUAACGGCGAGUGAAGCGGCAAAAGCUCAAAUUUGAAAUCUGGGGUCUUCGACCUCCGAGUUGUAAUUUGAAGAAAGCAUCUUUGGAUUUAGCCUUUUUCUAAGUUCCUUGGAACAGGACUUCAUAGAGGGUGAGAAUCCCGUAUGGAGAAGUGUCUAUUUCUAUGUAAAGUGCUUUCGACGAGUCGAGUUGUUUGGGAAUGCAGCUCUAAGUGGGUGGUAAAUUCCAUCUAAAGCUAAAUAUUGGCGAGAGACCGAUAGCGAACAAGUACAGUGAUGGAAAGAUGAAAAGAACUUUGAAAAGAGAGUGAAAAAGUACGUGAAAUUGUUAAAAGGGAAGGGCUUCAGAUCAGACUUGAUGUUUAGCGAUCCAUCUUCCUUUUUGGUUGGUGCACGCGCUUUUCAUUGGGCCAACAUCGAUUUGAGUGGUAGGAUAAUGCCGUUGGAAUGUAGCUUCAUUCGUGAAGUGUUAUAGACUUCGGUGAUACUGCCCACUCGGAUCGAGGACUGCGUCUUUUGACUAGGAUGUUGGCGUAAUGAUCU